AUCCAGCUGACAAGUCGCGGAUAGGACGAAAUGCGCAUCCUGGAU
RNAcentral lists this non-coding RNA (45 nucleotides) under Schistosoma margrebowiei. Lineage: Eukaryota; Metazoa; Platyhelminthes; Trematoda; Strigeidida; Schistosomatidae. The record is from RNAcentral.